This is a small nucleolar RNA of Salvia miltiorrhiza (redroot sage), 139 nucleotides long. RefSeq annotates it as small nucleolar RNA Z247. NCBI's taxonomy places the organism in Eukaryota, Viridiplantae, Streptophyta, Magnoliopsida, Lamiales, Lamiaceae. The record is from RefSeq and is a predicted model, not a curated record. The transcript has a single exon.
GCCAUGAUAGAAGAUGAUCAAAUAAUGUAUAUCUUUUCUGGGCUUGGUGCAGAGUAUGAUUCAGUCAUGGUUACUAUUACAUCCAAACCUGAGGUCUAGACUCUUAGAGAUGUGAGUUCUUUACUCCUGAGCUUUGAAA